This 388-nucleotide long non-coding RNA is filed under the name Prunus persica (peach). RNAcentral's name for it is "long non-coding RNA (PPER_LNC002037)". The record is from RNAcentral. Lineage: Eukaryota; Viridiplantae; Streptophyta; Magnoliopsida; Rosales; Rosaceae.
GGAGUUUCUGCGACAAGAGAAAUACACAAAUUUAUGUCUAGUAGGUAUUUUGGGUGUUUAGGGUUGAUUCAUAAAUUCAUAAAUUCAUAAAUUUAUUGACAAGAAAGGCGCGAUUGGUGAAGUACGGCGGCACUGUUAGGAAGAAGAAAGGCUCGUUUCUUCGAAACAGGCGCGACUUGACACUUGGGCUAAGGGAAACUGCAGCCUACCCGUUUUUACCGUAAGAUUGCUUUUUCUCUUUAGCCGUUCAGAUAAUUUAGAUGGCUGGAUUUGAUUCUCAUAUAAGGUUCGCACAUAAGCAUUCUCACUAGAUAGCCACCCAAUAUUAAAUAGGGUAUGGGCCUAAUGGAGGCAAAGUUGGGCUUUGAAUAAAAAUAAAAAUAUAUAC